Molecule: ribosomal RNA, 449 nt
Filed under: uncultured bacterium
Lineage: Bacteria
Description: bacterial SSU rRNA
Rfam family: Bacterial small subunit ribosomal RNA
Source: RNAcentral
UGGGGAAUUUUGGACAAUGGGCGCAAGCCUGAUCCAGCCAUGCCGCGUGUGUGAAGAAGGCCUUCGGGUUGUAAAGCACUUUCGGCCGGAACGAAAUCGCGCGGGUUAAUAGCCCGCGUGGAUGACGGUACCGGAAGAAGAAGCACCGGCUAACUACGUGCCAGCAGCCGCGGUAAUACGUAGGGUGCGAGCGUUAAUCGGAAUUACUGGGCGUAAAGGGUGCGCAGGCGGCGUCGCAAGUCAGGCGUGAAAUCCCCGGGCUUAACCUGGGAACUGCACUUGAAACUACGAUGCUGGAGUAUGGCAGAGGGAGGUGGAAUUCCACGUGUAGCGGUGAAAUGCGUAGAGAUGUGGAGGAACACCGAUGGCGAAGGCAGCCUCCUGGGCCAAUACUGACGCUCAUGCACGAAAGCGUGGGGAGCAAACAGGAUUAGAUACCCCCGUAGUCC